This is a non-coding RNA of Phyllostomus hastatus (greater spear-nosed bat), 140 nucleotides long. RefSeq annotates it as small Cajal body-specific RNA 11. The transcript has a single exon. The record is from RefSeq and is a predicted model, not a curated record. Lineage: Eukaryota; Metazoa; Chordata; Mammalia; Chiroptera; Phyllostomidae.
UUGUCCUGGCCUAUGCUUUCCUCGCUGCCCUGCGCUCAGCUGCAGCAGGGUGGGGGGCUGGCAGGACACCCACAGUCUCCCUCAGCUUACAAGGGCUGUCCCGAGUACAGGGCUGGCUCUUAAAGGCACAAGAGGACAGU